Molecule: long non-coding RNA, 708 nt
Filed under: Struthio camelus australis
Lineage: Eukaryota; Metazoa; Chordata; Aves; Struthioniformes; Struthionidae
Description: lncRNA (ENSSCUG00000014466.1)
Source: RNAcentral
GGACGAGUAGGGUCUGGGGUUGGGGGUGGGAGCGUUACCUGCGUGGAGCGGGUCUGUGGGCCCUUGUGGUGGGGCUGGGAGGGAGGAGGGCGUGGGAGAAGAGGAAGGCACUUUCCCCAGGGGCAAAGCUUGCGACCUGGCACUGAAGGCAGAGAUCUCCACACCUCUUUGCCGUGCAUUCCCACGAAGCGAUCGUCCUUCCUGUGCUCCAAAUUUCCCUCUUCCUGGGGAACCCCUGAAGAAAAGUACUACAGGGACGGAAGCAGAAACGUCUGCAAAUCUGAUUGCACGGAAGUCUUUUGUGACUGGGAGAACAGGACUUUGGAACCAGUUGCAGAAACAGGAGUUCAGCGAGGAGGCCGGUGAAGGCACUAGGUGUGGUGGGAACGAGCCUAGGAUGGCUGCUAUGGCAUCGGGGGAAUCCAAAUAAUGAGAGGUCGGACCUGUCUGGGUGAGCUGCUUCAUGCACUGUGAACCAACUUAACUUCCCUCUCUGCUCUCUGUCCCUGCGUCCAUAGGUGCUUUGCUGGCCCCGGGGCUGCCAAGUGAGGCUGGGUUAGCAGCACGGUUGACGUCGGAGCAGGUUUGGGGUUAGCUGGUGGUAGUUUUCAUGCAAAACCUUCUGCGUUUCUGUGAUCCUUGAAAACAUUUGAUAGGAUCUUUGACGCACCUUUAUGUAUAGAGUUGCAGAAGAAGUGAGAAGCCUGC